GAAAUUACAAACCAAAUCCUCAUCAUUGUGUUGGAAGGUACCCUAAGACACAAACAAACACACAAAAACAACUUAACGCAGCCAUCACGAGCUCUCGAUCGAAGCUCAUCUCGAUGGUCGAGAGUUUGAUGGAAUCAAAAAUGCUGAAAGCCAUCCACUUGCCACCGAAAUAUGGCUUCAUCUGAGUAACUAGGCAACC
This 199-nucleotide long non-coding RNA is filed under the name Malus domestica (apple). RNAcentral's name for it is "long non-coding RNA (MDOM_LNC006871)". The record is from RNAcentral. Lineage: Eukaryota; Viridiplantae; Streptophyta; Magnoliopsida; Rosales; Rosaceae.